Molecule: long non-coding RNA, 3233 nt
Organism: Peromyscus maniculatus bairdii (prairie deer mouse)
Lineage: Eukaryota; Metazoa; Chordata; Mammalia; Rodentia; Cricetidae
Source: RefSeq, a predicted model, not a curated record
GGCUGUUUGGGUGCGGACCCUUGGCGGCUCUCUUAUGUGAGUAGAGAAAGGGAUACCAUCCAGAGUGUUUGGGUGUGAACACCUCAUCCACCCACCUCCCCUGGGGUGGAGGGCGGUUCUUGAAGCUGUGUCAGCAGGAGUAAGGGUUGUGGGAUCGCUCUUGGGCCACACUUUGCUAACAUACAAUCCAUUCCUGUUGCUUUGCUUAAUUUAUAACCAAAGCUUUUGGUACACUUACAUAUAGCUGCUGUCAUAAUUCAUCAUCAAAACCCAGCACUGACUUCAUCACACAGAUAUCACUAUAUCUGCCACACACUUAGCUCUUGGGUCAUACUGGCUCAGUGAUGCCUUUACAACCUGCUAUGGCCCUAAGUGUCCUUUGGGCUCUGUCCUGAUGGAAAUACCUUUGGAAAAGCAACAACUCUCCCUUUAUGUCCAUGGAGAAAGGCUACAGGACAUGGGGCAGGCAUGGUCAGCCCAUUUUCCUAGGUUGAAAGUCCCUUUCCACCUAGUGGGUACUGGCCUCGGGGCUGGUGGAGCAGUGAGCACGCCAUACAUUAUAUGUGUGACACCUGCCACCCAGCCCAAGGCCCCUAGGCCCACAUGCUUCUGGAGAGGGGUCUGGUUUGGAAGCACCCAAAGAAUGCAGAGGAGACUCGCCCAGCAGUACCUCUGUUUGGCACCUAAGGUAACCUGACUUCCUGAGUUCCUUUCACAGCCAGCCUUGUGCUCUCCUGGCAGACCUCUGGAUGCUGUCGUUCAUCCCUCCAGCCCAGGUACGUGUAGGCCUGGGGGGAGCCUUGAGGGUAGAAUGUUCUCUGGGCACAAAUCUCACCCCCUGUCUCUUUCACAGAGACGCCCGGGCAGGACUGCGGCAGCUGGCCCAAGAGAGGCCCCAAGGGAUGGCGUCCACCUCAAGGUGUUUGUUCAUGGAAGAUCUUAAAUGUUGACCUCUCUUGAGCAUAAAAUCUUUUCUUGACGAUUUCUGCAGCCAGUGUCAAGCUCAGAAAUAUGAUCAGCCCCUUGAUGAUGGUUCCCAAAGAUCUGAACAAAUAGACAAGCACAAAUAUAUGCUGAAAAACACAGCAACGAGCACAUGAUGAAGGGCCUCGUGACUUCAUGAAGGAGUACCAUUCAGGGAAGCAGGGAAGCAGCUGUGGUCCGCUGGUAAGUGAUGGACACUUGUCCAUGUGACUAGCUCUAAGGAGUUUGUGAGGAAUCAUGUUUUCUUCUGUAGCAAGCUACAGAUUCAAGGGAAGGGUCUUGGCUCUUGGUAACUGUCAGGCAUCGUCUGUCCCUCUUGCCUUUGGUGACCCAUCUUUGGGGGAACCCAUGACCUCUUUACUUUUGUGAGCAGCAACUAUUUUCAACUGACCAGACUUUGAGGCCAGUUCUUUGGACAGAUAUUGGAGGGCUGGUCAUAGAAUACAUGUUGUAUGUGUGGGGAAUGUCACCUGGUCCAUUUGUUCUCAACAUUGAGGAUAUGUUGAGGAAGGUUCUGGAGGUGACUGGCUGAGUUGGGGUUCUCAGUGCUUCCUGUUUGCUUCGUGGAGGCAUGUUUUUUUUAAAUCAAAGAUUUGCAGUGUCUAUGUUGGUAUGCCUCUGUGUCUGAUCUACUCAAAGAAGAUUUUCCAGGAAGUUGAGCUAAUGUUGAUAGGACUUGAUAAUGUGGUGAUAGUGAGUCAUGAACAUGAAGAUAUCCUUCGUGUCUGUUUCUAACAGUCUGUCCCACUGAUGUACUGGACCUGCGUGUUGGAGCCUUCCGGACUCGUCCCGCUUCCCAAAAACUUCCUUGAUGUCUUCAGUGUUCCAUGGCAUGUGCAUGGAUGCUCCAGCAGACACUUUGCUGUGACCUUUGCCAUGGGUAGCCAAGAUGGGCUCUAUAUGGAAGUAGAACUGUCUUUGGGAAUCAUGAGGGGAAAAACUCCUUGUCAUGAACUCUUGGGGUUGGGGGUGCUUAGAGUGACUCUCUGUUAGGGCAUGUGACAACCAGGUGAUAUAUUUAGCUAUGAGGUAGGCACUAGGAGUCCAGAUUCUCUUCUGUUGUUAAUGUAGUCAUCUAGGCCAGGGUUCUCCAGAGCUGUUCAGCUUCUGAUAUUCAAAAGGUGAGUGUUCCUUCUAUGCCUCAGGUUAAUCAUAGAGGUAACACCCACAUUUUCAGUAUCUCAAGUUGCCCUGGAAUGUUUCUGAAUGCAAAGUGGCCUAGGGAAAAAGCAAGUUAUCUCCUCUGCCCCCACCCAGGGAUCGAGGGGGGAGAUGGAUCCCACAACCUGUGCUUUCCACAGCAAGGUUGGUCCUGGAAUCUGUCCUCUGUGGGCUGUGCCGAGGGCGCCUGUCAGCUGUCUUCUUCAUUUCUGACCGAUUGGGCCUCGGCUCUUGCUCUUCGGGACUAAACCCUUUUGGUAUUUAAAAGGUGGAUAUUCCUUCUAUGUUUAUGGUAUUUAUGAUUAAACAUAGAGGAAAUUUCACGUUUUCAGUGUCAAAUGCUGCUGGGAAAUGGGCCUGAACUGAAGCCACCAUCAGGGCAGUGACAGUACAGUUGCCCCCUCCAGGGUAAGUGGGAAGCUGGCGAUCCACAGAGCAUGCGCCAGACUCAUAGGUGCCUGAGGGCCAUUGACCAGUCUUGAAGAGAAUCUCUGAUGAGCUGCUGGCUCAGCCAGAGGCCGGGGGUCUCGUUCUAGACUCUAUGGCAGCAUAUCAGUCUUUCCCAUAGUAUGCCCUUGGCUUCAGAUAGGUUGUUCUUAGGUCGCGCUUUCCAAGAGUAAGCCCUGUUUGGUAUGUAAAAGGCAGAUUUUCCUUUUGUGGUUGUGUGCUUGCUGGUUAGUCAGAGAGGGAUAUCCAUGUUUUCAGUCUCAUGUGCCUCUCGGGAGCCAUGAUCCACCAGGGAAACAAGGCUGGGCUCAGCACCCUCCGGGUAAGUGGAAAGGUGGUGGACUGCAGACCAUGUGUGUUUCUCAUAUCAUAUGUCUGCUGGCCAUCACCUUUAAGGGUCUCCUUGCCUGUGGAGCCAGCCUGGCAAAGAGGCGAUGUUGCCUCACUACAGUGACGUCUGGGCGCGGGAAUGAGAGCUUUUCUGUCUUGUGAUCUGUUUCAGAGAAGCCCAUGCACCACAGCUGGUCCUUCCCGGAACUCAGCAUUUCUUUGGUAUUUAAAAGGUGGAUAUUCCUUCUAUGGUUACGUGCUUCCUGGAUAAUCAUAGAGGAACAUCCACUUUUUCAGUAUCAAAUGUCGCU